Mesitornis unicolor (brown roatelo) is the source of this 987-nucleotide long non-coding RNA. RefSeq lists it as uncharacterized. The transcript is spliced from 2 exons. Lineage: Eukaryota; Metazoa; Chordata; Aves; Mesitornithiformes; Mesitornithidae. The record is from RefSeq and is a predicted model, not a curated record.
GCUUCAAUAGUGAUUGGGAAAUGGUGGUGUGAGAUGGAGCCCUGCCUAGAAGGAGAGGAAUGUAAGACGUUGCCUGAUAAUUCUGGAUGGAUGUGUGCAACUGGCAAUAAAAUCAAGACCACCAGAAUCCACCCGAGGACUUAACAGAGCACCGUCUGCAUGGAGAGAGUGAAAGCCCUGCUGAUUUAUGAGGACAAAGUAUUGAAAGUUUAAAACCAUCUCAGCAUUUACAGGCCAAAUGGAUUUCUUAUUUGCACUUUGACUGUUUACCAGAAAACAACAGUGGCUUUACUGUGUGAAAGAAAGUAUUCAGUGGAAAUAAUGCCCCUGAUUUUUGACAGCUGAAAAUAAAAAUGAAGAAAAUGGUUCCUUUGGUAAAGUUUCCGAGAUUGCGAAGUACAAACAACAGUAUAAGUUUGGAUCUACAAUUUACUUUAUACCAGUUAAAGUAUAUAUAUAUAGAAAUAUAUAUAUAUUAAUAUAUGAUAUUUUGAAAUAAAAGCCUCACUCUUCAAGAAAUUGAAAAGUACCACACUUUGCUGCAGCUGCUGUAAAUUUUCUUUUUAUUUUUUGUAAUGAUCUGGAAGAACCUUACCUGUUUCAGAGAGAAACGUGGCAGUGAAGAGGCAAAGCAAACCUGCUGCGGUACAAGGACGCCUAAGAGCUACACAAAUCCUACCGAUGUGGCAUCCAGAGCUUCCUGUUCAGCAGAAUUUCGAGGGCAUUCGUUGUUCCACUUUGUGUUCUGGAGGCUUUUCCCCUUGUGCAAUACUAGCAUGCUGGCUUUGCUUCAUUAACCAUACUUGAUUGAUAUAUAACAAUUAUAAUUCUAUCCUCUUCCAAGAAAAUAUUUUUAGAGCUGUUAGAUACUCCAUGAAGAAGAGAUGGACAACUACUGAGUGAAGUACAGUAUGUAUUAAAAGUUUAUUUGGCAGCGUUUGGUAGACUGUGAACUCCCUUCUUAUUAAAGAUGUACUGUACAUACAA